ACAGGAAAGUGGUGUUGUCCAGCGAGGAAGAGGAUGACAGCCCUACACCUCCACUACCUCCAUCCACCCUCGGGUCAGCCAUGUCACCACCCGAAUCCCUGCCAACGAGGGACAUCCUUUUACGCAUCCUCGAACUUCUUGAGGAACUUAAAGAAGACAAUCGGGCCACUAGAAGGAUGCUACAAGCGCAGCGUGGCAACGGUGGCGACACCCUUUCUUUUAUCCCAGAUGGUUUCCCCCUAAAGACAGUUAGAGAAGUCGAAGAAAUGGAGGAGAAACUGUCUGACCCAAGCUUUAAUUCUGACCUGAUCACAGCAGUGGCAGACAUUGGAGGGAGCAUUGUGGAUGAGGCCACAAGACAGAUAGUGGUCUUCAUCAUGGACCAUGACCUGUCAAGGCUGUAUAAUUUUGUGGGCCGGAAUGGCAAGCGGGAAUCCGGUCUUUAAAGCUGUUUGAAAAGUUAUAUUUGGAGCUUUAAAGAAGAACAGCCUAACCAGCCAGAUGUGGAGAGGGCAGUGUCAAAAUGGCUGAUUGAAUCUAGGGACAGGGGAGGCAAUAGACAGCCCAGACAGGUCCGUCCUUCUCCCACUAGAUCCACUUCUCGCUCAGCCGAAGAAAAUUUGUUAUGGGACCUUUUUUUUUUUUUCUGUUCCACUUUUUGUCUUGUAUAAAACUUUUAUAAUCUGUAUCAUAUUGUGUGUAUUAUGCAUCUGUAAAAUACAUAUUAUGCUUUUGAAAUAAUAAAAAACCUUGAACAAUGA
Long non-coding RNA from Fundulus heteroclitus (mummichog), 761 nucleotides. RefSeq lists it as uncharacterized. The record is from RefSeq and is a predicted model, not a curated record. NCBI's taxonomy places the organism in Eukaryota, Metazoa, Chordata, Actinopteri, Cyprinodontiformes, Fundulidae. The transcript is spliced from 4 exons.